AGUGCGUAAUAGCUCACUGGUCGAGUGAUCCUGCGCCGAAGAUUUCCGGGGCUAAAACUUACUACCGAAGCUACGGCAUCAGUAAUGAUGGGUAGGGGAGCUUCCCAUACGGGUUGAAGCAUGACCGUAAGGACAUGUGGACAGUAUGGGAGUGAGAAGGUUGGCAUGAGUAGCGAGAUGUGGGUGAGAAUCCCACAGGCCGUAAACCCAAGGUUUCCAGGGGAAGGUUCGUCCGCCCUGGGUUAGUCGGGACCUAAGCUGAGGCCGAAAGGCGUAGGUGAUGGAC
RNAcentral lists this ribosomal RNA (286 nucleotides) under Clostridioides difficile. Its description in RNAcentral is "partial 23S ribosomal RNA". It matches the Rfam family "Bacterial large subunit ribosomal RNA", at positions 1129 to 1423 of the family's 2925-position model. Lineage: Bacteria; Bacillati; Bacillota; Clostridia; Peptostreptococcales; Peptostreptococcaceae. The record is from RNAcentral.